Molecule: transfer RNA, 77 nt
Filed under: Allomeiothermus silvanus
Lineage: Bacteria; Thermotogati; Deinococcota; Deinococci; Thermales; Thermaceae
Also listed under: 6 other names
Description: Meiothermus silvanus tRNA-Ile
Rfam family: tRNA
About the family: Transfer RNA (tRNA) molecules are approximately 80 nucleotides in length.
Source: RNAcentral
GGGCGGUUAGCUCAGCUGGUUAGAGCACACGCCUGAUAAGCGUGAGGUCGGUGGUUCGAGUCCACUACCGCCCACCA